GACUGGUCCGAAGGCAGUGAGUUUUCUCCGCCGAUUUCUCAGCCAAUUACAGGUCGACCUUCUCGUCUACCCCGCUCACUGCUGCGCUUGACUGGUCUUUU
Molecule: unclassified non-coding RNA, 101 nt
Organism: Loxodonta africana (African savanna elephant)
Lineage: Eukaryota; Metazoa; Chordata; Mammalia; Proboscidea; Elephantidae
Rfam family: Y RNA
About the family: Y RNAs are components of the Ro ribonucleoprotein particle (Ro RNP), in association with Ro60 and La proteins. The Y RNAs and Ro60 and La proteins are well conserved, but the function of the Ro RNP is not known.
Source: Ensembl